UAAUUCCCGUUGAUCCUGCGGGAGGUUGCUGCUAUUGGGGUUCGACUAAGCCAUGCAAGUCAUCUCGCAAGAGAGGCGAAAUGCUCAGUAACACGUCGAUAAUCUGCCCUUAGGUCUGGAAUAACCUCGGAAAACUGAGGGUAAAACCGGAUAGAGAAAUUUAACUGGAAGGUGAAUUUCUUCAAACGUAAGGCCUAAGGAUGAGUCGGCGGCGGAUUAGGUUGUUGGCGAGGUAAAGGCUCACCAAGCCGAAUAUCCGUAGGGGCCUUGAGAGAGGUAGCCUCGAGAAGGGCACUGAGAUACUGGCCCUAGCUCCACGGAGUGCAGCAGGCGCGAAACCUUUACAAUGCACGAAAGUGUGAUAAGGGAACCCCAAGUGAUGGUGCAACGCAUCAUCUUUUGCUAAAGGUAAAUACUUUAGCGAAUAAGUGGUGGGCAAUACCUGUGCCAGCCGCCGCGGUAACCCAGGAGCCACAAGUGGCAACCGCUUUUAUUGGGCCUAAAGCGUCCGUAGCCUGUCUUGUAAAUUUUUUGUGAAAUCGUUGCGCUUAACGUAACGGCGGGCAGAAAACACUGCGAGACUAGGGACCGGGAGGAGUUAGGGGUAUUUUGGGGGGAGCGGUAAAAUGCUAUAAUCCCCGAAGGACCACCAGUGGCGAAGGCGUCUAACUAGAACGGAUCCGACGGUGAGGGACGAAAGCUAGGGGAGCAAUCCGGAUUAGAUACAACCUUUUUGCGAACGCAAAAAGCUUGACCAAAAAUUUCAUGAAGCGCCUUCGGCGCAAACCACGAUUGCAAAAAUUCUACUGUGGUUAAAUGAAUUUCAAGCUUCUAUGCAAGAAGUGUUGCUAAUUACCCGAGUAGUCCUAGCUGUAAACUCUGCGAGCUAGGUGUUGCGUAUUCUUAGGGAAUGCGUGGUGUCGUAGCGAAGGUGCUAAGCUCGCCGCCUGGGGAGUACGGUCGCAAGGCUGAAACUUAAAGGAAUUGGCGGGGGAGCACUACAAGGGGUGCGGCGUGCGGUUUAAUCCAAUUCAACACGGAAAAUCUCACCAGGAGCGACGGCAGGAUGAAGGUCAGAUUAAAGGUCUUACCUAACGAGCCGAGAGGUAGUGCAUGGCCGUCGUCAGCUCGUGCCGUAAGGUGUCCUGUUAAGUCAGGCAACGAGCGAGACCUGCGCACACAAUUGCUAACGAUUUUCGCAAGAAAAGAUUGAGCACAUUGUGCGGACUGCCUCUGAAAAGGGGAGGAAGGCGCAGGCAACGAUAGGUCUGUAUGCUCCGAAUCUUCUGGGCUACACGCGCGCAACAAUGGUAGGUACAAUGGGAUGCAACACCGAAAGGUGGAGCUAAUCCUCGAAAACCUAUCCAAGUUCAGAUCGUGGAUUGUAAUUCAUCCACGUGACGUUGGAAUCCCUAGUAAUCAGGCUUUAUUAGAGCCCGGUGAAUAUGUCCCUGCUCCUUGCACACACCGCCCGUCAAACCACCCGAGCAGGGUUUAGAUGAGGUCCAAUUUUUAAUUGGUUCGAAUCUAAGCUCAGCGAGGAGGGUUAAGUCGUCACAAGGUAGCCGUAGGGGAACCUGCGGCUGGAUCACCUCCUU
Molecule: ribosomal RNA, 1598 nt
Filed under: Candidatus Woesearchaeota archaeon
Lineage: Archaea; Nanobdellati; Candidatus Woesearchaeota
Description: bacterial SSU rRNA
Rfam family: Archaeal small subunit ribosomal RNA
Source: RNAcentral